UACGUAGGGUGCGAGCGUUAAUCGGAAUUACUGGGCGUAAAGGGUGCGCAGGCGGUUCUGCAAGUCAGGCGUGAAAGCCCCGGGCUUAACCUGGGAAUGGCGCUUGAAACUACAGGACUGGAGUAUGGCAGAGGGAGGUGGAAUUCCACGUGUAGCGGUGAAAUGCGUAGAGAUGUGGAGGAACACCGAUGGCGAAGGCAGCCUCCUGGGCCAAUACUGACGCUCAUGCACGAAAGCGUGGGGAGCAAACGGG
This 253-nucleotide ribosomal RNA is filed under the name uncultured bacterium. RNAcentral describes it as "partial 16S ribosomal RNA". It matches the Rfam family "Bacterial small subunit ribosomal RNA", at positions 524 to 776 of the family's 1533-position model. The record is from RNAcentral.